This is a long non-coding RNA of Gallus gallus (chicken), 6194 nucleotides long. RefSeq lists it as uncharacterized. Lineage: Eukaryota; Metazoa; Chordata; Aves; Galliformes; Phasianidae. The record is from RefSeq and is a predicted model, not a curated record. The transcript has 4 exons.
ACCUCUCGGAGUCGCGGCCGUCGAAGAAGACGAAGUCCCCGCCCUGCACGCACUUGGCGCAGGCUGUGUUAUGAUGCUUUCUUGAAACCUCUAAGAAUGGGAUAGAUGUUCUCAAACGCCUCGUAGAUUUCAGAACGCUCUUUUGCUCCUGUGAAGACAUUUGAAAGGGGGAAAAAAAUAAAAGGAACAAGGGAAGGAAUGUCUCUGCAAGACCUCCAACAGACCAAGCAGCAGCUCUACAUGAAUUGACUACAGACUGAAACUCAGCUCUAUGGGACUUGACUAAGAAAGUCACAAUAGCAUGUAAGUCAUAAUGAGCUGUAAUGCACAGAAGAUGGUACAAAUAAAAGCCUUGUCACUGCAAGCCUACAGGACUACUCACACACAGUGAAGGAUAUCAGGGAACAUGAGAAAUAAUGGUCAAAAACCAGACGUAAAGCAACAAGUUCAUGGCAUAGCUUAAAGAAAGAAGCUAACAGAUGUGUGGUCACUGGGAUUGGAAGCAUCAGCUGGAAAAGAUAUAAUCUAAAAGGAACAAAAUAAACUGCUUAAAGUAGAUAGAAAUAGAAAGCUAAUCUUUUAUGCAGCUGUUCUGGGAAAAGCCUUUAUAGGGUUAAAUGCUGGGGAAGAUGGUCUUCAUGUUAGACAGAUGCUCAGAGGCUGCUGAAGGGGCACAAAACCAUGUUUGCCUUGGGCUGGCUGCCAAGGGUUACUGCUAUAGACUCCAGGUUAAUUAACUCCACUGAAGGCCCCAUCAGCUGCAUAACUUUGGACAUUUCCUAGCAGCUCCAGAAAGGAGACUGCACACUGAUCCUGUGUGAGAUCACCUCGUUUGAGGCAGCGUGAGGGAGAAAGAGCCCUUUUACUUCUGCUGCAGUAGUUUGUGCAGCCCAGGUAUGUGUAAAUCAAAUCCAGCUGCUUUUAGCAUCAGACCUGACUUUUUCUUUGUUAAUAGUGUCCUAAAUAUCUGCUACUAUCACGUAUCUCAACAGGUCUGAAAUAGAAAUCCAUUUCAUCUGCAAAACCCAAGCUAUACCUCCCCAUGUUAUACACCUUAUGGGGCUACAUUCAGAGGGCUUUGCUGGCUGCCACCAGGAGGUCUCUGAAUUUAAGCAGCGUGGGUAAAACUGAGUUUCUAACCUGAAAAUGGUAAAAAGGAGAAGAAUGUGCAACUGUGGGAGCUGUGGCCACACAGCUCAGCCAGAAGUACAGCCUUCUCCUGUUAUUGCUGCAGCUGCUGCAACAGCAGGAAGACACCUGGAGCCAGGAGAGCCAUUUUGAACUGGGAGAGAAAGAUUUUUACACCCAUUCACCAGCCAGCAUGAGGAGAUCGAGCCUCCUUGCACAUAGGCUGGUCCAUAGUAAAGGUGCAAGUGUAGCAGCAUUUAUUCCACAGGAGAAGAGAGCAACCUCGUGCAAGAAGGGUGUGGGCUCCUCUGUGCUCCAAAGUAGCUCUUGGCUGAAGGAACCCUCCAUGGCCCCAUACAAAUAAAUCACAUAGAAGGUAAGAAGCAUGGGGGAAAAAAAAGAAACAGGAGAAAAGAGAAAAUUGAGAACUGUAGGGAAUUGCUGCUCUACAAUUUGAAUAUAUGCAGGAAGCCUCCACAAGCGCAGCGUUGGUGGUAUAGUGGUGAGCAUAGCUGCCUUCCAAGCAGUUGACCCGGGUUCGAUUCCCGGCCAACGCAACUCGUAUUUUUUUUCCUCCCCCCCAUCGGUACCUGCGUGCCGCAGUGCUCCAGGUACUGCUCCAGGGGCGAGACGUCCUCCAUGAGUGCAAAACCCGCUGCCCUGUGGUGCUCACAGCUUUAUAGCAUGGGGCAGCCCCAGAGCAGGUGCAGCUCACCGAGGCACAGCUGGUGACGAACAGCAAGGGGAAUUAUGAUCUCCAUUGCUGUUUUUGCCCUUUGCAAGCAGCCUGGUGGGUAACUUUCACCCUGGGGAUGUGCUGGAGGAACUGGGGUUCUGCCUGGUGCUCCCCAUCAGGAUACGGGUACAGCCUGAGCCUGGCUGUGGAUGAGCAGGGAGCCAGAAAAAGAGAAGGUAGAGUGUGCAAACAUAAAGCCUCACCUUUUGCUGCAGCUUUUUAGUGAGCAAAUGCAGCAGGCCCUUAGCUUCUCCCACCUGCUUCAUCAGGUGUAAUAGGGUACAGCUGGUCCUGCAGCACCUCACUGUCAGGGCAGCCUCAGCCCACGUAGCAGGUCUUCAGCUGGUGCUGUCAGGCUUUUCUCACUGCCCCAAGGCAAUGAAGGAUGAGGUUUGCAUCCUAUGGCCUCGGAGCAGAGUCUCUGUGUCUGAUGAGCAUCCUCUCCUCCUUGGUGCAGCCUGCUGGGCUGGUUCUAUGGCAUUUUUGGGACUUGUCUUUCCCUGAUGGUUUGCAGAUGCCGUAUUCCUCUCACCCCGACUCCAGUGAUUCUGUGAUUCUAUGAAAUUCAGCCUCGAGUGAGUUGAUGUGCAUUAUGCAGGAUAGAGAGCAAGGGGGGGACUCUGAGGUUGCACUUGGGUUAUAGGGGAUGGUAGACUGGCUUGCACCAAUUCAUAAUGGCUAAAACCGCAGUGUCCCCUUAGGGCUCCCUGGUGGUUGCAGAUAGCACUGCAGGACUGUGUUGCCCUCCCAGCACAUGAAUGGUCAAAUUGUUGUGCUCAAACUGGGAACUGGGAGCGUUGUGGUGGCUGUGGGGUUCCUCUGGUGGUAACACAUCUGUGCUCCUAAUUCUCUCAUCAGUCUAAUGCCGUGAUGCUUGGCUAACACCAGCAGUGAUAAGCGGAAGCCCUUGGAGAUGAGAGGGGUUCAUUUUUUGAAGUGCAAUUCAGUAUUGUUCUCUGUAUAGUCAUAGAAUAUCCCAAAUGGGAAGGAGCCCCCAUAAGGAACAUGGAAUCCAACUCCUGGCUCCACACAGCACCACCUAAAAUCAGCCCAGUUCCUCCUUGGAUAAAUAGCUGGAGAAGACAGCUCUGCAGAACUGCUACUAAUAGCACUCUAUUUGUCUCUUCAGUGUUUCCAUUGCACACAUUCCUGCAUUAUCUGGAUGCCACGAUCUGGUUAUGGGGUGGUACUAUUCACAGGGGACUUCCAAAAAGCUAGAAGGGGCAUGGAGCAAGUCAGUAAGGAGGUUCUACCUGUUCUACUCAUUAACGCUCUCAUCAGUCACCUAUUCUAGCACCCCUUAAAUGCCUUACUGCUUGCUCUGAAGGUAGUUAAUCUGGUUGGGCUUUAUCUUACCUUUUUCAGGAACCACUUUGGGAUUGAAAAGCCCAUAGCUGGCAGCAUUCUGCUUUCUGCUCACCUGAGCUUCCUGCUAAGCUUUUGUAGCUGUAAUUGUCUCCGAAGAGCAGAGUGUCUCAGGUGCAGCUCGUAUCUGCUGGUCCCCGCACUGCCUGCAGCAUCAAAGCUGUGCUUCUGAGGAAGAUAAAAAAGCAGCUGAGAGCAGGAGCACCUUCCAAGAAAAGCCAUUUAUUAAGCACAAGUUAUCUCCCACUGCAACAUCUUCCAGUUGCCCCAUUGCUCUCCACGUUGGUACCAGCAGCAGGACCAGGCUUGUUGUGAAGGGGAGAGUAGGUGUUAGAUUUAUUUCAGGGAAGGAGAGAAAGCACCAUGAGUAAUGGGGUCACAGCAGCACUGAGGACUUGAACAAUGGGGCUGGGAUCCAUGGGAUCUUUGGUGCAAGCUCUGCAGGAAUCAGAGCACAACUUGUGAUGCCUUCACUGUAUGUAAAGCACCACGAAGAGCACUGAUGGGUUGCUGAAAUCCCUACAAAACAGUGUUGUCUGGCUGCUCAGCAAGAUGCAGUGGCUGACAUGGAAGGAGUCCUCGGGGCGUGCAGCUCAGUGAUUAGUCAGUCCUUACCACUUCCUCUGAUUAGCAGCAAGCAAAUCAGCAUGCUUGAGUCAACAAGGACCUCGGGAGGAACCAGACUUCCCCAAACCACUGCCAGAUGUCAGCAGACGCUCCGACCCUCCCACCUUGACCUUUUUGGGCCUCAGUGCUCAUAAUUAGCUGUUAACAUAGACGUGUUUCCGUUGCUCUGCCCCUUCUGCUGCAGCCUGCCCAGAAACAUCGUUAGCUCAGCUGUAAUGAAGCCAUACACAUGUGGCUCUGCAGUGCUGCAGAGCAUUGCAUCUCCAUCUCUGUUCCACCUAAGCAGGAACCCAGCUGGAAUCAUGUGUGGUGCAGCCUUGCUCCCAUUUGGGUCCUCCUCUUUCCCACGUGCUAUCUUUGAUCAUAGAAUCAUUUGAGUUGGAAGGGAUCUUUAAAGACCAUCUGGUCCAGCUCCUCCACCAGAGUCCUGUUCAGCCUGACCUUGAAUAUCUCUGGAGGCAGAGCACCCACCACCUCUCUGGGCAACCUGCUCCACUGCCUCACUACCUUCGUUGUAAAAAACCUUUUCCUUAUGUGCAGUCUAAAUCUCCCCUCUUCAUUUUGAAACUGUUUCCCAUUGUCCUAUCCCAGCAGACCCCGCUAAAGAGUCUGUCCCCUUUCUUACAGCCCCACUUUAGAUACCCAAAAGCCGCUCUCAGGUCUCCCCAGAGCCUUCCCUCCUCCAGGCUGCACAGCCCCAUCCCUCAGCCUGUCCCUGUAGGGAGGUGUUCCAUCCCUGGGAUCAUUUUUGUGGCCCCCCUCAUUUUUUCUUCAGUCCUCUUAUCUGUGGCUUGACAGAAAUAAUUAAACACUUUAAUUACUUUGGCCUCCCUUCAGUGGGCAUAUGCCCAAGCCAGUAAUACAAGAGCAGCUCUGCUGAUAUCUGUUUGUGCUUAGAACAUGUGAUGGACUCAGGUAGAGCUCAACAAUGUUUCUGAGAAUAUUAGGAACUCAGACAGGCAUGUGUUGGGGAUGGUCUGAAGCUGGAUGCUGUAUUACCCCAAAUCAUACCAGAUCCAUUGGGUUUUGUGUAUCAGCAUUAAGAUGUGCUUACAUUUAUCCCCAGCUGUAUUUACAGUCCUCUUUCUUCCAGCAUGUGUGAUGCUGCUGUCCCAAACAAAUGGCAUGGGACAGUUCCUGUGCAUCUGUGCCCCUUUGCUUCUGCUGCAUUUCAGGUGAGUGAAUAGUUCUGUGCUUAGGAAGAGCAGAACUUUUCUGUUGCUAACAUGGCAUGUAUCAUUAUACUUCUUAUUUUAUAUCUAUUGCUAAAGGAAAAUAUUUCUUAGGUACUGCUAUUAAUAAUUCCUUAGGCACUGAUGAAGAGUAAGAAUUUUAAAAGCCAUGAUAGAUCAAUGUGGAACAGCACAAAUAAUAACUGAAAAAUCUGAAUGAUCAGUGCAAGAAAAUAUGUGAACCAUUCCUGGAAUACAGCACAUGAGGUGUCUUACAGCAAUAGAGGUAUUCUCUGUAACAUUUCUUCACUUGCUUUGCUUUAUGAUAACCAGCUCUUAAAAGUUCAUCUUCUGCUACGAUGCUACCAAGAAAGAGUAAGGAAGAGGAGGGAUAUUUUAAGUUCACUUUGAAGCAGUAUUCCCAAUGUUAAUUCAAAGGUUAAUCUUGUGUUGUUUGGAAAGCUGCUUUUCUGCCCAGGCUCCCUGUGAUCCCUUUAGCUAUAUCUGAUAAGGAAGGCUAGAAAACUCCAGAUUAGAAAUUAAAUUCCACCUCUGUGGCCCAGCCCUGAUGACCCAAGGAGUCACGUAAAAUACUCUUUCCUUUGCAGUGAGCUCUUUGAGCUAACGCUGUUGCUUUUGACUUAAAAUUGAGAAUUCUUCUGGAGGAAAAGCUAAUUACCAUAGAAUCACAGAAUGGCUUGGGGGUUGGAAGGGACCUCAACCCCCCACCCCCUGCUGUGGGCUGGUUGCCCCCUACCAGAUCAGGCUGCCCACAGCCCCAUCCAGCCUGGCCAUAGGCACCUCCAGGGAGGGGGGCAUCCAUAAACAAAGUUCUCAGCAAUUUUUGUGACCUUCAGGAGAAUUUGAAAUCUUUCUGGCACACGUGUGUGUGAUGGACUUUCCAGUUCCAACUGAUCGUAGGAAUUUGUGCUUGUAAAUAAAAAGAAAAUGAAUGCAAAUAAGCAGAGGCAAAAAGCAAAUUUGGUCAUCAUUGUUUUUUCCCUAACCAGGAAAGAGAGGCUGAAUCAGUGAGGUGUUGAGACUUGUUCCUGGCACUGAGAAGGAUCUCUCCUUCUCUCCUACAAAAUGCUACAUUAGCAAUAAUCAGUUUCCCUGCCUUGUCUUCCUUUCCUUCCCUCGUCUUCCUCCUGUGCCAUCCCCAAACC